UACGGAGGGUGCGAGCGUUGUCCGGAAUCAUUGGGCGUAAAGGGCGCGUAGGUGGCCCGGUCAGUCCGUGGUGAAAGCGCGGGGCUCAACCCUGCGUCGGCCAUGGAUACUGCCGCGGCUCGAGCACUGUAGAGGCAGGCGGAAUUCCGGGUGUAGCGGUGGAAUGCGUAGAGAUCCGGAAGAACACCGGAGGCGAGGGCGGCUUGCUGGGCGUAGUCUGACGCUGAGGCGCGAAAGCGUGGGGAGCGAACAGG
RNAcentral lists this ribosomal RNA (254 nucleotides) under uncultured bacterium. Its description in RNAcentral is "partial 16S ribosomal RNA". It matches the Rfam family "Bacterial small subunit ribosomal RNA", at positions 524 to 776 of the family's 1533-position model. The record is from RNAcentral.